This 301-nucleotide ribosomal RNA is filed under the name uncultured bacterium. RNAcentral describes it as "partial 16S ribosomal RNA". It matches the Rfam family "Bacterial small subunit ribosomal RNA", at positions 509 to 807 of the family's 1533-position model. The record is from RNAcentral.
CAGUAGCCGCGGGAAUACAGAGGGUGCGAGCGUUAAUCGGAAUUACUGGGCGUAAAGCGCGCGUAGACGGUUUUGUAAGUCAGAUGUGAAAUCCCUGGGCUCAACCUGGGAACUGCAUUUGAUACUGCAUGGCUAGAGUAUCGAAGAGGGAAGUGGAAUUUCCGGUGUAGCGGUGAAAUGCGUAGAUAUCGGAAGGAACACCAGUGGCGAAAGCGACUUCCUGGUCGAAUACUGACGUUCAUGUGCGAAAGCGUGGGGAGCAAACAGGAUUAGAUACCCCUGUAGUCCCUGUCUCUUAUAC